GAAUUCAACUCCUACGGGAGGCAGCAGUGGGGAAUUUCGGACAAUGGGGGCAACCCUGAUCCAGCCAUGCCGCGUGCGGGAAGAAGGCCUUCGGGUUGUAAACCGCUUUUGUCAGGGAAGAAACGCUCCGGGCUAAUACCACGGAGUAAUGACGGUACCUGAAGAAUAAGCACCGGCUAACUACGUGCCAGCAGCCGCGGUAAUACGUAGGGUGCAAGCGUUAAUCGGAAUUACUGGGCGUAAAGCGUGCGCAGGCGGCUUUGCAAGACAGAUGUGAAAUCCCCGGGCUUAACCUGGGAACUGCAUUUGUGACUGCAUUGCUGGAGUGCGGCAGAGGGGGAUGGAAUUCCGCGUGUAGCAGUGAAAUGCGUAGAUAUGCGGAGGAACACCGAUGGCGAAGGCAAUCCCCUGGGCCUGCACUGACGCUCAUGCACGAAAGCGUGGGGAGCAAACAGGAUUAGAAACCCUAGUAGUCCAGGCGUU
This 483-nucleotide ribosomal RNA is filed under the name uncultured bacterium. RNAcentral's name for it is "bacterial SSU rRNA". It matches the Rfam family "Bacterial small subunit ribosomal RNA", at positions 328 to 803 of the family's 1533-position model. The record is from RNAcentral.